Molecule: ribosomal RNA, 253 nt
Filed under: uncultured bacterium
Lineage: Bacteria
Description: partial 16S ribosomal RNA
Rfam family: Bacterial small subunit ribosomal RNA
Source: RNAcentral
UACGUAGGGCGCAAGCGUUGUCCGGAAUUAUUGGGCGUAAAGAGCUCGUAGGCGGUCUGUCGCGUCCGUUGUGAAAACUCGAGGCUCAACCUCGGGCUUGCAGUGGAUACGGGCAGACUAGAGUGCGGUAGGGGAGACUGGAAUUCCUGGUGUAGCAGUGAAAUGCGUAGAUAUCAGGAGGAAUACCGAUGGCGAAGGCAGGUCUCUGGGCUAUAACUGACGCUCAUGCACGAAAGCGUGGGGAGCAAACAGG